UUCCCAUUCUGUUGCCCGGCUGAAGUGAAGUGGUGCUAUUUCGGCUCACUGCAACCUCCAUCUCCCAGGUUCAAGUGAUUCCCCUGCCUCAACCUCCCGAGUAGCU
Molecule: long non-coding RNA, 106 nt
Organism: Cebus imitator (Panamanian white-faced capuchin)
Lineage: Eukaryota; Metazoa; Chordata; Mammalia; Primates; Cebidae
Exons: 3
Source: RefSeq, a predicted model, not a curated record